UACGGAGGAUGCAAGCGUUAUCCGGAAUGAUUGGGCGUAAAGCGUCCGCAGGUGGCUGUGUAAGUCUGCUGUUAAAUAGUGAGGCUCAACCUCAUAAAGGCAGUGGAAACUAUACGGCUAGAGUGCGUUCGGGGCAGAGGGAAUUCCUGGUGUAGCGGUGAAAUGCGUAGAGAUCAGGAAGAACACCGGUGGCGAAAGCGCUCUGCUAGGCCGCAACUGACACUGAGGGACGAAAGCUAGGGGAGCGAAUGGG
This 253-nucleotide ribosomal RNA is filed under the name uncultured bacterium. Its description in RNAcentral is "partial 16S ribosomal RNA". It matches the Rfam family "Bacterial small subunit ribosomal RNA", at positions 524 to 776 of the family's 1533-position model. The record is from RNAcentral.